GAAGGAUAUCUACAGCGUCUCUUACUGAAGUAAUAAUCUCACUAUGGAAAAUAUUUGAUUGGAUAAACUGCCAGAAUGUUGAAGCAAUCCCACCCAAAAUAUUUUGUGGCAAUAAUGACACUGAUUUCUCCAUCAUAGCAUCAGUCAAGCUGGAAUGCUUAAAAAUGCUCAUUUCAAUAUAACAUGUGGGCCAUCAGAGGUAGAGAAAGAUGAAGAACAACAUGUGCACCACCGAGAUUUAAUGGACUGGGAUGGUCCAGCACAAGGCGGUAUCCUUUGAGACACAGAAGACAAAUGGAUUUUCCUGCUCAUCAACUUAUGAGCUGGCCAUAUACAGAUCAAAAAUAUUUAGCAAGAAGAAAACCACAAAAGCU
This is a long non-coding RNA of Tympanuchus pallidicinctus (lesser prairie-chicken), 374 nucleotides long. RefSeq lists it as uncharacterized. The transcript is spliced from 3 exons. The record is from RefSeq and is a predicted model, not a curated record. Lineage: Eukaryota; Metazoa; Chordata; Aves; Galliformes; Phasianidae.